RNAcentral lists this transfer-messenger RNA (353 nucleotides) under bovine gut metagenome. It matches the Rfam family "transfer-messenger RNA". From Rfam's summary of the family: Bacterial tmRNA, also known as 10Sa RNA or SsrA, is named for its dual tRNA and mRNA-like properties. Its role is to liberate the mRNA from a stalled ribosome. The record is from RNAcentral.
GGGAGCGUAAAGGUUUCGACAGGGAGUAUGAACACCGGCAAGCGAGCAGCGGCACUGUGGAACCGCUAUAAAAUCCGCAGACAUAAAAAUAACUGACAAAAGAUCAACUUUUGCCAUCGCUGCUUAAUUAGCAGCGGUCGUUCCUUUCGGAAGUACCACGGUCCGAUAGGGGCGUUGAUUAGUGGUGAACGUGAACGGGAGAGUGUCUUGGCUCUCGUCACGCAUUAGAGACUACCGAAACACAGAGUCUUCUGUCGGACGCUGUGCGUGGGGAAUCCUAAAUCGGCAGAUGCGCUCGGAGAAAACCGAUGGGAGUGCUUUUUGGACAGGGGUUCGACUCCCCUCGCUUCCAC